UAGAGUAGCGAAGUCCGCGAUGCCUGGAGGCGAGAAAAGCUCUGAGGUAUGCUAAGGUGCCCGUACCGCAAACCGACACAGGUAGAUGAGGAGAGAAUCCUAAGGCCAACGGGAGAAGGGUUGUUAAGGAACUCGGCAAAUUGACCCCGUAACUUCGGAAGAAGGGGAGCCCCCUACGGGGGGUCGCAGAGAAAUGGCCCAAGCAACUGUUUACCAAAAACACAGGUCUAUGCUAAAUCGAAAGAUGACGUAUAUGGGCUGACGCCUGCCCGGUGCCGGAAGGUUAAGAGGAGAUGUCAGGCAACGAAGCAUUGAAUUUAAGCCCCGGUAAACGGCGGCCGUAACAAUAACGGUCCUAAGGUAGCGAAAUUCCUUGUCAGGUAAGUUCUGACCCGCACGAAUGGCGUAAUGAUUUGGGCACUGUCUCAACAGCCCGCCCGGCGAAAUUGUAGUACUGGUGAAGAUGCCAGUUACCCGCAACUAGACGGAAAGACCCCAUGGAGCUUUACUGCAGCUUAAUACUGAAAUUCGGUAGUACAUGUACAGGAUAGGUGGGAGACUGAGAAAUACAGGCGUCAGCUUGUAUGGAGUCGCUGUUGGGAUACCACUCUUGUACUGCUGGGUUUCUAACCUGCGGCCGUGAAUCCGGUCGGGGGACACUGUUAGGCGGGCAGUUUGACUGGGGCGGUCGCCUCCCAAAAGGUAACGGAGGCGCUCAAAGGUUCGUUCAGCACGGACGGAAAUCGUGCAAUGAGUGUAAACGCAUAAACGAGCCUAACUGCGACACCGACGGGUGGAGCAGUAACGAAAGUUGGAGUUAGUGAUCCGGUGGUAUGUGAGUGGAAAUGCCAUCGCUCAACGGAUAAAAGCUACCCUGGGAUAACAGGCUGAUCUCCCCCAAGCGUCCACAGCGACGGGGAGGCUUGGCACCUCGAUGUCGGCUCGUCGCAUCCUGGGGCUGAAUUCGGUCCCAAGGGUUUGGCUGUUCGCCAAUUAAAGCGGCACGCGAGCUGGGUUCAGAACGUCGUGAGACAGUUCGGUCCCUAUCUGUUGCGGGCGUAAGAGAUUUGAAGGGAGCUGUCCUUAGUACGAGAGGACCGGGAUGGACGUACCUCUGGUGCACCAGUUGUCCUGCCAAGGGCAUAGCUGGGUAGCUAUGUACGGACGAGAUAAACGCUGAAAGCAUCUAAGCGUGAAACUCCCCCUAAGAUGAGAUCUCUCAUCCUUCAAGGAGUAAGGACCCAGAAAGACGAUCUGGUUGAUAGGCCGAAGGUGGAAGCGCAGUAAUGUGUGCAGCUGAUCGGUACUAAUAGUCCGAGGGCUUGACCAA
RNAcentral lists this ribosomal RNA (1330 nucleotides) under metagenome. RNAcentral describes it as "bacterial LSU rRNA". It matches the Rfam family "Bacterial large subunit ribosomal RNA", at positions 1578 to 2925 of the family's 2925-position model. The record is from RNAcentral.